This is a long non-coding RNA of Apis florea (little honeybee), 2518 nucleotides long. Lineage: Eukaryota; Metazoa; Arthropoda; Insecta; Hymenoptera; Apidae. The record is from RefSeq and is a predicted model, not a curated record.
AAUGUUCAUAUAUAUAUAUAUAUAUACAUAUAAUUGUUUACUGGUAUUGUGGGCUCAGCAGUGAAAACCGUGUUCCCCCAGCUGUAAUCUUCUCUGUUAAAAAGGCUCUGGGAUCACGGAAAACACUGCGCGAGUACUGACUAUUCUUCAAGCGUAUCAUCUUUUUGUCUUUCCUAAUCGUGAACAGCUUAACAUAUAUAAAUUAUUUUUCCGUUCAUUUAAAGCGUAAAGUGCAGUUCGACCAACAAAUUUAAUUCUCGAAAUAAAGGUAAAUGGACUAAUACAUGCAAUUGAGAAGUUUGGAAAGUAACCACUCGUUGGGAAGAAUGGGCAGGUAGGAGACGAUGAUGGAAUGAGAUAUACUGUGUGCGCACAUACAUACAAGGAGGAAAGGGAAGUGGGACUGGCUUGCCUUGUGCCACUUUAUACGUACGUACCGCUAUCGAGAUGUAGACUCGAUACUUUGUACCGGUCUUGUAAUAUUACCAGAUUUGUUCUUUCUUUCUAUGUCACCGACAUUGGCUUCACUUGUUACCACACUGUUGUACAAUUAUAAUGAGUUAUAUAUCUUUACAUCGUUCCGAUCAAAUUUCCUUUUCUAUUUUUUAUAUAAAAUUUAAAUGAAUUUGUUUUCAUUCGAUUAAUAUAUAAUUUUCCAUUUUUUAUAAAAAAAAAAAUUCAAAUAGCCUUUCUCUUAUUACUACCAUUUUGGUAUUUGGACUUUAAGUAUGAUUCCGACAUGACAGUAGAAUAAGGUAAUUCCAUUGGUCGAUUCUGAAGAAUCGUAAAAGGAAUUGGGAAGUGGCUUGGAAAGGAAAGAAAUGUAAAGCCAUAAAUAUUUUAAAAUUUGUGAAAAGAGACAAGCGACGGGUGGUCAACAACCGCCAUUUUAUGGACGCCACCGCAUUGCGGCCAUCUUUUGUAUAGUAACCGAAGCGUUUCUAUUUCCAUUUGGGGUUGCUCGAUUGGCUCGGAUUCCAUUCACGCGCUGUCUAAUUUUACUCGUUGGCCUCGAAUCUACCACGCCAUGGCUCAUUGCGUACUAUCUGAAUCCAAGAAAAGACAUUUUCAAUUAAUGUUUUCUAAAUAAUCGAAGUCUUUUAAAUCUAUUAGUAUUUCCACACAUUUUUAUAAUUUCAAUUUCAUUUAAUCUAUUCUCUGAAUUUACAUUGCGUAGCAUUAUGCUUAAAAUAUUAGAUUCGUGUAUGUAUAUAACAACAUAUAACAAUUCUAUGGAGAUAUUGAUGUGUGUAUGUAUGAAUGUGUAAUUAUAUAAUAUAAAGAAAUUUUUAUAAAUUAUAGAAUUUAUAGUAAAAUGAGAGAUAAGAUUUUUUGUGCAUAUAAUUUAAGUCUAUAAAUGUCAAGUUUUUGCGAAAAUAAAUUUAAAAAUAAAUAUAUAUUCCAAGACUGCUUGCUUAUUUAAAGCCAUGCAAUUUUAGUUCAUUUGCAAAUACCAUUUUUAUUUUUUAAACAAUCUAGGACGAAAGCGUGAAAAAUUUAUUAUUAAAACGGACAUUUACACCUUCGCCUCGGUAAUCUUAUUAGUCGUUUCGAAAAAGGAUUAAACUCUUUUACACGAAUAAUCUAAAACAAGCGUAACGCUAGUAACGCUUAAUUCGUUUUCUUCAGGUUAAUCGAUUUAAUCCGCGAAAUACGAGUUCUGUUCUCGCUACAUCAUUCCAAUACUAAAUGACGCGACGAAAAUUUUUACCAUUAACCAUAUGUUUUAAACUAUUCUUAAACUUAUUAUUUUUAAAAAGCAUUUAUUUUGUCAUUGCAUAUUAUUAACAAUAAUAAAUUCAUAAGAAACUUACUACUUUUAAUUAACAAACUUCAUUAUAUAUAUUUUCUACUAUCAUUUUAAAAAAAUUCUCAAUGUCUACGCCAAUGUUGUGGAUGACAUCAUUGCGAAACGGUUGAACAGCGGGGGAACGAGUAUCCGUAAAGAUCGCGGAUCAUCACCAAGAGUGGGGUAGGGACAGGAGCGACAGUGGGAAGGAGAAUCGAGGAUGAAAAGGAAGAGAUGUGUGGUAGCGAUGGCCUUAAGAUACAUCAAGUUUCUUAAACUUAUAUAAACGUUAUAGAUUAAUUACACGUUAUAUAUUAAUAUCUCAAAUAAUAUUAAUGUAAAAGUGCAAUUAGUAGAAGUCGUGUGUAUAUAAGAGACGAAAUUAUGUAACGUAUUUCAUCUUGUUAAUAUAUUUCUUCACUUUUCUUUCAUGUUACGCGGAAAAAAUUGUCAAUAGCUAUAUAUCUGGAUCUUCGAUCUUCGCGUAAAUUGUAAAUUCAAAAUUUUAAGAGGCAGAAAGAAUUGAAUGGCUAUCGCUAGACAACGCAAAAGUCCAAGGCGGUUGAAGAAUAAGUUGGAGAGACAAAGAGCGGAAGAAUAGAGAUGAAGAAAGAAGAAGUGAGGUUCUCCACGUAAAGAACUUAUGGGGAGGGGAGAGGAGAAUGAAAUGAUGCGAUAUAAGUAUGAGAAUCCAGUGGUGGGGUAGACACCAGGCAACCAGGCCUUGAA